AGGGAGUACUAUUUUAAAGCCAGUUGCUUUCCUUGCAGCAUGACUAUUUCAUUGAACAACGGCAUACUCGUUGCUGAGAUAAUCAUGAAGGAAAAAAAAUCAUAUACUGCAAAUAUGUCUCGCCGGGAGUGUACGCAUACAGUUAGUCUCACAACCCUGAAGACUGUCAAGAGUAACAACAUAGAAAAACAGCUAAACCUAGUCACCUUAUAGUUCCAUGGCAUUCACAAACCAAGUAGGCAUUGUACACAGAUAAUUUCUUCUGCAUCAUCCU
Molecule: long non-coding RNA, 274 nt
Filed under: Hordeum vulgare
Lineage: Eukaryota; Viridiplantae; Streptophyta; Magnoliopsida; Poales; Poaceae
Description: long non-coding RNA (HVUL_LNC005943)
Source: RNAcentral